UGACCUAUAUCGAGAAAACAAUCACAAAAAUAUGCGCUGAAAUAAAAAAGGAUUUCAUUCCUCAAUGUGGAAUGCAUUACCAUUGAUGAUAUAGCAAAAUUAAAUACAACUCUUUUAGUCAAUUGGUUCUUAAUCACACUUUGAAAUCCACCUAGUGCGAACAUAUCGUACAAAAAUGACUUAUCGAAACAAGAUAAAUUAGUUUAGUUAGAUUUAAACAUUUGCUCUGGAGAGUCAGUGAAUAGGCAUUAUUAUAAAUCGAGGUUUCGGUAGACGAGAAUAAAAAAAAAAACAAAAAAAAAACAACACCACCAUCGUGUCGUCAUAGCUGAUUUAUACAAGGUACCAACUGGGCGAGAACAUUAUCGAUUUCUAAAAGGUACUAACGAGGGCGACAUCACUACCAAUUGAUACAAGGUACCAACUGGGGCGACAUCAUUAUCGAUUGAUACAAGGUACCAACUGGGGCGACAUCAUUACUGAUUGAUACAAGGUACCAACUGGGGCGACAUCAUUACCGAUUGAUACAAGGUACCAACUGGGGCGACAUCAUUACCGAUUGAUACAAGGUACUAACUGGGGCGAUAUCAUUACCGAUUGAUACAAGGUACCAACUGGGCGACAUCAUCACCGAUUGAUACAAGGUACCAACUGGGCGACAUCAUUACCGAUUGAUACAAGGUACCAACUGGGCGACAUCAUUAUCGAUUGAUACAAGGUACCAACUGGGGCGACAUCAUUACUGAUUUAUACAAGGUACCAACUGGGGCGACAUCAUUACUGAUUGAUACAAGGUACCAACUGGGGUGACAUCAUUACCGAUUGAUACAAGGGUACCAACUGGGCGACAUCAUUACCGAUUGA
Long non-coding RNA from Pecten maximus, 864 nucleotides. RefSeq lists it as uncharacterized. The transcript is spliced from 2 exons. Lineage: Eukaryota; Metazoa; Mollusca; Bivalvia; Pectinida; Pectinidae. The record is from RefSeq and is a predicted model, not a curated record.